UACGUAGGGUGCAAGCGUUGUCCGGAAUUAUUGGGCGUAAAGAGCUCGUAGGCGGCCUGUCGCGUCGGCUGUGAAAACCCGAGGCUCAACCUCGGGCCUGCAGUCGAUACGGGCAGGCUAGAGUUCGGUAGGGGAGACUGGAAUUCCUGGUGUAGCGGUGAAAUGCGCAGAUAUCAGGAGGAACACCGGUGGCGAAGGCGGGUCUCUGGGGUUAACACUGACGCUCAUGCACGAAAGCGUGGGGAGCAAACAGG
This 254-nucleotide ribosomal RNA is filed under the name uncultured bacterium. RNAcentral's name for it is "partial 16S ribosomal RNA". It matches the Rfam family "Bacterial small subunit ribosomal RNA", at positions 524 to 776 of the family's 1533-position model. The record is from RNAcentral.